Molecule: long non-coding RNA, 820 nt
Filed under: Homo sapiens (human)
Lineage: Eukaryota; Metazoa; Chordata; Mammalia; Primates; Hominidae
Description: HSALNT0295075
Source: RNAcentral
AGUCAGUUCUACUGGGCGCUAUAGGAAGGGCGCACGCACGAAACUUCCUCCGUCCCUUGCAUCCUCAGGGCCCGCCCGGCAGGACGACUGAGCAAGGCCUUGGAAGACCGGAGAGAUUGGAGUGAAAUCCUACAAACUCCCGUGAAUGCUGUGGUGAAAAGCAGGAGCUGCCAGGGCAAGAUGGAUCGCACCUGUAAUCCCAGCACUUCAGAAGGCUGGGCGGACCACUUGAGCCCAGGAGUUGGAGCCCAGCCUGAGCAGAAUGGUGAAACCGCUACGAAAAAAGAAAAAGAAAGGAAAGAGAAAGAAAAGAAAAGAAAAAAAAAGAGAAAAAACUAGCCGGGUGUGGUGGCGUGUGGUUGUCCUACUCGGGAGCCUGAGAUGGGAAGAUCGCGCCACUUCUCCAGACUGGACGGUACAGCGAGACUUGUCUUAGGGAGGGGGGGAAAAAAACAACAAAAAAAACAGAGGCUAAGAGGUAACUCCGAGGAUGACAGAAAACACCAGAGUUUUUAAGAGAUGUUAGAAGCCCUGGGAGCACUGAACAAACCAGAAAGCUCCCGACCCUUGAUCCCUGAGCUCCACCUAGCAAGUACAGCGGCAGCUAACCUGGGAGAACACCCCAACCAACAGAGACUGAAAUUCGCCUCCCAAGAGAGUAAGUGGAUAGUUCUAAGCUGUCCCCAAACAUGGCCUCACAAACGAAAACUAACCGUUGCGAACGGAAACAACUGACCGGACAGAACACAGCCACAAAACACGAGCCCGCACCCUGAAUUACAAAAACACUUACGGCUCACCUACUAUUCGCACCACAAAA